Molecule: ribosomal RNA, 253 nt
Filed under: uncultured bacterium
Lineage: Bacteria
Description: partial 16S ribosomal RNA
Rfam family: Bacterial small subunit ribosomal RNA
Source: RNAcentral
UACGUAGGGGGCAAGCGUUGUCCGGAUUUAUUGGGCGUAAAGAGCGUGUAGGCGGUCAGGUAGGUCCGUUGUGAAAACUCGAGGCUCAACCUCGAGACGCCGAUGGAAACCAUCUGACUAGAGUCCGGAAGAGGAGAGUGGAAUUCCUGGUGUAGCGGUGAAAUGCGUAGAUAUCAGGAGGAACACCCAUGGCGAAGGCGGUUCUCUGGGCCUUACCUGACACUGAGGAGCGAAAGCGUGGGGAGCGAACAGG